Molecule: ribosomal RNA, 253 nt
Filed under: uncultured bacterium
Lineage: Bacteria
Description: partial 16S ribosomal RNA
Rfam family: Bacterial small subunit ribosomal RNA
Source: RNAcentral
UACAGAGGAUGCAAGCGUUAUCCGGAAUGAUUGGGCGUAAAGCGCACGCAGGCGGUCUGUCAAGUCGGAUGUGAAAUCCCCGGGCUCAACCCGGGAACUGCAUUCGAAACUGGCAGACUAGAGUCUUGUAGAGGGGGGUAGAAUUCCAGGUGUAGCGGUGAAAUGCGUAGAGAUCUGGAGGAAUACCGGUGGCGAAGGCGGCCCCCUGGACAAAGACUGACGCUCAGGUGCGAAAGCGUGGGGAGCAAACAGG